RNAcentral lists this ribosomal RNA (325 nucleotides) under uncultured eukaryote. RNAcentral's name for it is "partial 18S ribosomal RNA". It matches the Rfam family "Eukaryotic small subunit ribosomal RNA", at positions 1470 to 1796 of the family's 1831-position model. The record is from RNAcentral.
CCCUUAGAUGUUCUGGGCCGCACGCGCGCUACAAUGAUGAAUUCAACGAGUUUAUAACCUUGGUUGAAAAGCCUGGGUAAUCUUUUGAACUUUCGUCGUGAUGGGGCUAGACCCUUGCAAUUAUUGGUCUCCAACGAGGAAUUCCUAGUAAACGCAAGUCAUCAGCUUGCAUUGAUUACGUCCCUGCCCUUUGUACACACCGCCCGUCGCACCUACCGAUUGAAUGCUCAGGUGAGCCAUUCGGACUUUCAUCAUGCUGGUUUCCAGUUUUGAUGAAGGAAAGUCUUGCGAACCUUAUCAUUUAGAGGAAGGAGAAGUCGUAACA